GUCACAGCAAUCAGAUUUUGUUUAUGUCUACUCUUUCGUCUCAUUGGACAAACUAUAGCAGAGUGAAAAUGAAAGUGCUCACGCUUAUGGUUCCCGGGCUAGUGCUGCACCAUGCGGACGAUACUGAGAGGUGAUCCACGUUAGCAUAUGCAAGAACCUAUAAGUUAGAGAUCUAUCUUGUUUAAUUCUACGCUACAAGAACCUAUUAAUUGUACGGUUAGAUGGAAAAGUUUAUAUCUAUUUUUCUAUUCGAGAUAGACAACGGCUAACUACGCUAACAAAGAAAAAAUUGUCGUGUAAACGGCUAGCACGGUUUAUGACUGAAAAACUAUUUUUGAGAAAGCCAUGAUUUCCAAGAAAGAACAUUCCAUAAGGCAUGAUUCUUUAGAGUUUUUCAGUACGGACUCAAUAGCAAAUUGGUGGUAUCAUAAACCCGUUUCGUCACUCACAUCCCCUGGCAACGAUAUCAAACGUGCUGCUGAAAAUACGUGAAGUUUCCACGGAGAAAAAAUUGUCAAAUAGAGUAGAGACUCCAUUGUGUAUAGAUGUAACCAUUUUCAGUAAAAAUUAAAUGUUAGAAGCUGACCUUAUCAUUAUAUUGAACACGCCUCUGAUCUACCUUACAAUAUUUUUGUUAGGGAAAACAAGAGAAUAUUCGCUUUCAACCGAUAAUGGAUCAGUAGAAUAAUUCAAUAAUUUUAAUAUGUUUUCUAUACACCAUUCAGAUUUAACAUUAACUCUUGGCACUUGGCAUGUCAAUUAUAUUGGCAUGAAUAUUUUUUAAGGCACUUCGUCGAUUUUACAGUAUAGAGCUGAGCGGAUGCGCUGUUCUUUCGUUUAAGAAUAGGUGAAAACUGUUAUGUCGUUGAAGAAAGGGCCUUCACAAGAUUGCGGGAAAGCUCUUUGAGGGACUGCUGCUUUAUAAUAUAUACAUCCUUCCAGAGUCAUCAGAUCCGUCGCAUAUAACCCAUGUUAGCAGAAACAACAAAUAGAUCUGGACCUUUCCAAUGGAUGGUUAAAUAAUAGUAAAAAAACAAGAAAAUGUUUUAGAAAUAUUGAAAAACAUAAAUAAAAUCAUUAAAUUUUAGUUUUCUGUCAAAUAUUAACAAUCAAAUAUGUGUAUUUUUCAUCAUUAUGAUACUAAGUGCUUAAUGUUAAUUGUGUAUAUAUUGUUUAUCCUUUUUUGUUAUUUAUCAUUCGAAUAAAUUUUGGUUGCUAAUUGUAACAAGUUUACAAACUGACAAGCAGAAACAAUAGCGUAGCGAUCAACGGAUUGUGGUAUGGACUACGAUACGGUGAGGGCUUGGUGGGCCUUUAUGACAUCGCCGAAAAAUUGCUCACGAGACAUUUCCAUGCUAGUCCGUGCUAAAUCGGCCUUCAAGGCACUCGAACAUGGCUUCAGUGGAAACGGUCUCAUAUAUUUGUAUGAAACCAAUUUUUCAAGUAAUUUUCCAGUUUAGCUUAUCUAUGGGAAUGGUUCCAUAUAAAUACAUUGAAGCAAAUUGUUUCAUUUUUUAUUGUCAAUGAAUCUUUAGUUUAAGGCUUACAUUUGUUUAAUAGGUGAUAAAAAUAGUCACGAACAUGAUGUACCAUAGCAUACUAGCCCAUUGUUCUUUCUAUUUUUCUCGUGUCAUUACAUAUUGUUAUUUAUAAUGUUAAGCAUUUAAACAAAAGGCGGUCUUUGGAUACAAUCUCAGGUACAAUUGCAAAUAGCUUUCCUGCAAACAACAUUAUAUUAAGAUACUGACAUGCCGAGGAGGAUCUGGAUCUCCUGACUUGCACAAUGGCCCAUUGGGUAGCAUUAGGGGAUAGACGGGUGGUCUUUCCCAAUGCCCGAACUAACCAAGGAACGACUCCCUCAGACAGGAGAAGACGCAGGAGUGCUCCAGCAGUAAUUCGAAAGAGGUCCUGGGGCAUCCCAGCCGAGCGUCCGGCGGUUCAUCGUGGGGUUAUAGUCGGUAAAGUCCGACAUUACCCUCCGCUUCCCAGAAGAGCGGGGGAGGGGGAAGGGUGUCCAUGAGGAUUUUCCCACGUAUAAAAAAAAAACAACAUUAUAUUAAUCAUAAUAUAAACAUCUAUUUUAAUUUCAUUAUACAAAUUAAUAUACAUAAUUUAGUUUUAUAAUCUUAUUAUUUUAAAUCAGAGUCAAUUAUUUCAACAAUUCUUAAAAUUAAUGAAAUCUUUGUUAGACAUGUGCAUGAGGUUUCAUCUAUUAGACUGUCUAUUUUUAUAAUAUAUUACUAUGGAUCAUUGUUGAAUUUAUCGUAUUAUUUAUAAAGACUAAUAAUCAACAUAUAACAUUUGAUAAGGCCAUAUCAGAUUUGAAAUUUUAUAUACCAGCACCAGCAAAACCAUUUUCGUGUUAUAGUUAUUUGGUGAAAAAUUACCAAUUGCUUCAAAUAUAAAAAUAAGAAGAAAUUAUGAAGCAAGGAAUCAUUCAUAUGUAUUAUAUUGCAGGUACUCAAAAGUUUCAGACAAAAACUAACUGGGUCCUUAGAACUAAUGGGAAUUUGAUGCAAGUCGGUUUAUUCUAGAACAGCAAGUAAUAAAAAUUGUUCUUGUACCGUGAACGACAAAGAUUAUUUGUUUGUAUUUUCGGAAGUAAGUAAAUUUUUAUUUUUUCGUUAUUUUCCUAAUAUCUGGUAAAAUUUUUGAGAUUUGCCUUGAUCGCUGUAAUAAAAAUGAAAUCCUAUAGCAGAGUGUGAGUAUUAAUAUAGCGUAAGGCAACCAGCAACCAAUAUUGACGCAUGCGCUGCCACAAAUGUACAAUUGUAUCCAAAAUUCACUGUAGUAGUAGUGACUGUUUUUUGCAAAUAUCUCGGAAAUUAAGGCUGACCGCCAGUAAUAUGUAUAAAAAGAAGUCGUUCUUAAUCAUGCCCACCAUUGCAUAUUAAAAAAUCAUCGAAAUCGAUGAGAUUUUCUUUUAUACAUUUAUCGUAACUUUUUGUAAUACAUACACUGAUUUUUCCUGCAUUAUUGUUUCAAAAUUCUACAAAAUUCAGAUUUUAAAAUAAUUAUAUUUCUCGAAGCCGUUGCGAAUGUGUAUGCAAUUUUCUAAAAGAUUAUAACAAGAAAUUCAAAACUAUGUAAUAACUUGCUUUUAUAUUUAUAUAUUGUAAAAAUAUUUAUUUUUAAACAAAUUACUACCUUUUCGAAACUUUCCUUCGAAUUUUUAUUUCUGUUAACAACUCUUUAAAUAAAUAAUAAAAUAAGUAUUUAAGUAAUAAAAAAUAAAAAUAAGUAUUUUAGAAUCUUUUGAGAUUUUUUGGAAGUCAGAAGAAUAGUAAAAAAAUUAAUUAUAGAUGACUCAGAUUGCCCAUGGAAGAUGCAAAAAAUAUGCUUGCUCAUAGAGGGUUAAGUACUAACAUCUAACAAAGUUUUAUAAGAUAAUAUCUUAAAUUAUAAUACUUUAAUAAUUUUUCUUACCUAUGAAAUAUUUUGUACAACAGAACCUCAAUUAUCCAAACAUGUUUCCCAUGUAAGCAGUUCACUCCUCUAAAUAAAUUUUUGUUAGAUGUCAAUAUUAUCA
Long non-coding RNA from Bombus terrestris (buff-tailed bumblebee), 3529 nucleotides. RefSeq lists it as uncharacterized. The record is from RefSeq and is a predicted model, not a curated record. The transcript is spliced from 4 exons. Lineage: Eukaryota; Metazoa; Arthropoda; Insecta; Hymenoptera; Apidae.